RNAcentral lists this ribosomal RNA (1109 nucleotides) under Salmonella enterica subsp. enterica serovar Typhimurium. RNAcentral describes it as "partial 23S ribosomal RNA". It matches the Rfam family "Bacterial large subunit ribosomal RNA", at positions 590 to 1616 of the family's 2925-position model. Lineage: Bacteria; Pseudomonadati; Pseudomonadota; Gammaproteobacteria; Enterobacterales; Enterobacteriaceae. The record is from RNAcentral.
UGUGUGACUGCGUACCUUUUGUAUAAUGGGUCAGCGACUUAUAUUCUGUAGCAAGGUUAACCGUAUAGGGGAGCCGUAGGGAAACCGAGUCUUAACCGGGCGUUAAGUUGCAGGGUAUAGACCCGAAACCCGGUGAUCUAGCCAUGGGCAGGUUGAAGGUUGGGUAACACUAACUGGAGGACCGAACCGACUAAUGUUGAAAAAUUAGCGGAUGACCUGUGGCUGGGGGUGAAAGGCCAAUCAAACCGGGAGAUAGCUGGUUCUCCCCGAAAGCUAUUUAGGUAGCGCCUCGUGAAUUCAUCUCCGGGGGUAGAGCACUGUUUCGGCUAGGGGGCCAUCCCGGCUUACCAACCCGAUGCAAACUGCGAAUACCGGAGAAUGUUAUCACGGGAGACACACGGCGGGUGCUAACGUCCGUCGUGAAGAGGGAAACAACCCAGACCGCCAGCUAAGGUCCCAAAGUCAUGGUUAAGUGGGAAACGAUGUGGGAAGGCCCAGACAGCCAGGAUGUUGGCUUAGAAGCAGCCAUCAUUUAAAGAAAGCGUAAUAGCUCACUGGUCGAGUCGGCCUGCGCGGAAGAUGUAACGGGGCUAAACCAUGCACCGAAGCUGCGGCAGCGAACGUAUCACCCAAGACAACUUUACGGAGUUGACGAUUGACGGAGCGAAGCGACGUCAAAGCGUUCAUUAAAGUCGAGUUGGCUUAGGGAUACGUUCGUUGGGUAGGGGAGCGUUCUGUAAGCCUGUGAAGGUGUGUCGUGAGGCAUGCUGGAGGUAUCAGAAGUGCGAAUGCUGACAUAAGUAACGAUAAAGCGGGUGAAAAGCCCGCUCGCCGGAAGACCAAGGGUUCCUGUCCAACGUUAAUCGGGGCAGGGUGAGUCGACCCCUAAGGCGAGGCCGAAAGGCGUAGUCGAUGGGAAACGGGUUAAUAUUCCCGUACUUGGUGUUACUGCGAAGGGGGGACGGAGAAGGCUAUGUUGGCCGGGCGACGGUUGUCCCGGUUUAAGCGUGUAGGUGUGUGUUCCAGGUAAAUCCGGUUCACUUUAACACUGAGGCGUGACGACGAGGCACUACGGUGCUGAAGCAACAAAUGCCCUGCUUCCAGGAAAA